AAAGGAAUAGACGGGGGCCCGCACAAGCAGCGGAGCAUGUGGUUUAAUUCGACGCAACGCGUAGAACCUUACCAGGGCUUGACAUCCCCUGACCGCCCAAGAGAUUGGGUUUCCCUUCGGGGCAGGGUGACAGGUGGUGCAUGGUUGUCGUCAGCUCGUGUCGUGAGAUGUUGGGUUAAGUCCCGCAACGAGCGCAACCCUCGUGCUAUGUUGCCAUCAGGUAAUGCUGGGCACUCAUAGCAGACUGCCGGGGACAACUCGGAGGAAGGUGGGGAUGACGUCAAAUCAUCAUGCCCCUUAUGUCCUGGGCGACACACGUGCUACAAUGGCCGGCACAGACGGAAGCGAAGCGGUGACGUGGAGCCAAUCUGAGAAAGCCGGUCCCAGUUCGGAUCGCAGGCUGCAACUCGCCUGCGUGAAGCCGGAGUUGCUAGUAAUCGCGAAUCAGAAUGUCGCGGUGAAUACGUUCCCGGGCCUUGCACACACCGCCCGU
RNAcentral lists this ribosomal RNA (493 nucleotides) under uncultured bacterium. RNAcentral's name for it is "bacterial SSU rRNA". It matches the Rfam family "Bacterial small subunit ribosomal RNA", at positions 903 to 1397 of the family's 1533-position model. The record is from RNAcentral.